Molecule: long non-coding RNA, 279 nt
Filed under: Carica papaya (papaya)
Lineage: Eukaryota; Viridiplantae; Streptophyta; Magnoliopsida; Brassicales; Caricaceae
Description: long non-coding RNA (CPAP_LNC015360)
Source: RNAcentral
UAGAAAAUACAAAAAGACCAAUGGAGCAUAAUUUACAACAAAUCCUUUUAUCCAUAAUAAAUCAUUUACCAUCCACUUACCUCGGUGAAAUUCAUAAAAUAAUAUACGAAAGCAAUAACAUUAUCAUCAUCAUGAAAUCAUAUAAACUGUAUAACAUAAUACUUAUCACGCCAUUUUGUAAUUCAAUCAUUACAGAACAUAUUUUCCUCAUUUACCAACCCACUAGUAUCCAUGGGGAUCCAUAGGGGUCCCGUUACCUGUUAACCCUUAACACUUGAA